Molecule: ribosomal RNA, 643 nt
Filed under: uncultured bacterium
Lineage: Bacteria
Description: bacterial SSU rRNA
Rfam family: Bacterial small subunit ribosomal RNA
Source: RNAcentral
CGCGGCCUAUCAGCUUGUUGGUGAGGUAACGGCUCACCAAGACGACGACGGGUAGCCGGCCCGAGAGGGUGACCGGCCACACUGGGACUGAGACACGGCCCAGACUCCUACGGGAGGCAGCAGUGGGGAAUAUUGCACAAUGGGCGCAAGCCUGAUGCAGCAACGCCGCGUGAGGGACGACGGCCCUCGGGUUGUAAACCUCUUUUAGCAGGGAAGAAGCGAAAGUGACGGUACCUGCAGAAAAAGCACCGGCUAACUACGUGCCAGCAGCCGCGGUAAUACGUAGGGUGCAAGCGUUGUCCGGAAUUAUUGGGCGUAAAGAGCUCGUAGGCGGUUUGUCGCGUCUGCUGUGAAAACCCGAGGCUCAACCUCGGGCCUGCAGUGGGUACGGGCAGACUAGAGUGCGGUAGGGGAGAUUGGAAUUCCUGGUGUAGCGGUGGAAUGCGCGGAUAUCAGGAGGAACACCGAUGGCGAAGGCAGAUCUCUGGGCCGUAACUGACGCUGAGGAGCGAAAGCGUGGGGAGCGAACAGGAUUAGAUACCCUGGUAGUCCACGCCGUAAACGUUGGGAACUAGAUGUAGGGACCAUUCCACGGUUUCUGUGUCGCAGCUAACGCAUUAAGUUCCCCGCCUGGGGAGUACGG